Molecule: ribosomal RNA, 300 nt
Filed under: uncultured Streptomyces sp.
Lineage: Bacteria; Bacillati; Actinomycetota; Actinomycetes; Kitasatosporales; Streptomycetaceae
Description: bacterial SSU rRNA
Rfam family: Bacterial small subunit ribosomal RNA (bases 52-300)
Source: RNAcentral
GGGAACGCGCGGACAAGGGGGGCGGGAAUAGAGGGGGUGCAAGGGGUAAUAGGAAUGACUGGGCGUAAAGCGGGCGUAGACGGGUAUGUAAGUCGGGUGUGAAAGCCCCGGGCUCAACCUGGGAAUUUCAUUCGAGACUGCAUAGCUAGGGUGCGGAAGAGGGAAGCGGAAUUUCCGGUGUAGCGGUGAAAUGCGUAGAUAGCGGAAGGAACACCAGUGGCGAAAGCGGCUUCCUGGUCCAGCACCGACGUUCAGGCACGAAAGCGUGGGGAGCAAACAGGAUUAGAUACCCGAGUAGUC